This 1021-nucleotide long non-coding RNA is filed under the name Betta splendens (Siamese fighting fish). RNAcentral describes it as "lncRNA (ENSBSLG00000026168.1)". The record is from RNAcentral. Lineage: Eukaryota; Metazoa; Chordata; Actinopteri; Anabantiformes; Osphronemidae.
GGAUCCCUAACAGAUGGGCAGGGGUGAUGGAAAAAGUCGUUUUUAAUUAGUCUGUCUGAAAUCGACGCUUCCUAACCCACACACCUCUCUACAUUUAGGUUUCACUGGUCACCAGACAGGCGCUUUGCUGGCUCCCAGCAUCAACCAUCUGGUGGACAGCAGAACCCGGGCUACAGGGUGGCUCCCCACUCCAGUGAGCCGACACAUAGCCCAAGGACACAGGCAGAUUGGAGAGAGGCGGCGUGCUAAACACACACUGGUGGAGCUACUGGGGGAGAGCAGCGCAGGGAUUGGCCGAGAGCACCGUCACUCAAGCAUCAAACGCUCUCCGACUUCCUCUGUCCUCCUUUCCUGGCGCAGCCUGGGAGGAGGGAGUGGGAUGGAUCGUUUGUGUGUGAGCCUCCGUAGCUGCUCCUUGCCACCUGUCCUUGACUUACUGUGCACAGACGGGGCUGAAAGGAAGUGCUGCCCACGCCUCUGUGGCAUCUUUCUCUCCAUGUUUGUGUGAGUGGCUGUGGUUUUUAAAUCUGUCACUGUGUGUGCAUGUGCGUGCGUGUGUGUGUGCGUGCGUGCGUGUGUGCCGGUCUUCCUUCUACUUGUGGUGUUUCACUGGAGUGGCGAAGGGAGGAACGCUCGUCCUCGGCCGGCGGAGCUCUGAUGGGAGGCAGCGCCGGCUCUGGUUGGGACUGGGGAUGCUGAACGGGGGGAGGGAGGGCCUGUUUGAGCUGGGACAGCAGCUCCAGCAGCAGGGGGAGUACCAGGCCGCCCUCCACUGCUUCCUCAGCUGCCUGUUGGGACUGACCCAUGUGCAGAGUUUCACCUCUCUGCCCAACUGCCUGCACCAGAUUGCAGAACUCUUCAUCACUGAGAAGAAUUGUAUCCUUCUUCUAAAAAAAAACAAAAGCUUCCUAUCUCACAUCAGUUUAAUUUUCGCUGUCCCACAAGCAGCAAACUAUAACAGCAGCGUUCUAUUCUUGUGGGUUUAACAUUUAAUAAACUGUCAGUGGCGGCUGGGAAGGCA